UUUAGGUGAACUUUAAAAAGCCGCUCCUGUGAUGUCACUGACUUCGCCACGGAGGACACCAGUUUGAACAUUUCUGACCUCUUCUGUGGCUCGUGGCUUCGCAGUUUGCUGCCAGUCAAUAGUUUACAUGCUCUGGAGCAGCUACCAGGCGGCUGCAGACUGCCACCAUUUCUAUGGCUGCCAUUUGGUGCAUAUGUUUAUCCAGGGAUCUUCAGAAAAGAAGAGUGCCAAUGUGAGUUGUUGCCCAACCUGAACUCGUUGAGUCCGUCCACCAUUCGGCUGUAGGCCAAGGCCCUCUGGCUGGCAUCAGCUGACCGCCGACUCAUCUUCAUGGCCUUGAGAGUGACAUAGCACAGACACACACGCUUUGAGAUAUUUGGCACAGAAGCAGACAAACAAAGUUACAGGACAGUUGGAGUAAGGAAUUUGCAGGGUGAGUCGUCCAGACGGUGCCAACAACAGGCACCAGUAAACAGAACCACAGAUAUACAUGGUAUGACCAUUGACCGGUCGAUCUGACAGCAACUCUGCUCAUUACAAAGGGUGCAAAGUCUGCAUUUGGGUUCUAUUAAUAUCCCACUGCUAAACAGGUUCCUUUGACAGGUUUAUCCCCACAAACUUGAGACACAGCUCUUGCCAAGUACAACAUGUAGUUGGUCUGAAAUCGCAGUCACCCACACCCACUCACCUGUUCAAUGGCGCUCUUGAGUUUGUUCAUGUGGCUUUCAAAGAGAGGGAAGUGGGAGAAAAAGAAAUCU
Molecule: long non-coding RNA, 758 nt
Organism: Scophthalmus maximus (turbot)
Lineage: Eukaryota; Metazoa; Chordata; Actinopteri; Pleuronectiformes; Scophthalmidae
Exons: 3
Source: RefSeq, a predicted model, not a curated record